AACCCCUUGUGCUUCUGUUAGUCCUCUGGACAAAUUAAUUUGUCAUCUGUAUUGGCUGUUUGAGCUCCUCACUCCAUGACUCCUCCCCCUGGCCCAAAAUUCUCUCAGAUACACAGCCCAUGAGCUGACAGAGCUGGUAGUUCCUUGUGUUAUAAUCUGAGGGAUUCUUUCCCAAAUAUCUCUCCUAACUGGCUUGAAAUUCAAUUAUUAGAGAUUUACUCCCAUGGCUCUGGAUGGAUCACAGAUUUGGAGCUGGACCAAGAAAGGGAAGAAGGGAACUAAAAAGGAGCAGUGGCAUUAUUGUUUUAAUUACCGUUUCCAGAGCAAGAAGUAAAAAGCAGGGGCUAUUUGAAGAUGCGGGAGAAAGCCAGCCCCUGCAGAGCAUAUGGCAAGAUGCCCAGGUCUGCACAACAUAUGGCAUGGUCCACUUGCAGCCCACCAAAGGAUUUCGGAGGACCCUCAAAAAAUGUAGAGGAUGUAAAAGAAAGUAAAGAUGUAACAAGUGCUUUGUCCGUACCCUGCUUAACCUGCCUUCCACUGAUCACUUUAUUCACAUGGUUACCAUCCUAACACAGGACCUCGAUCGCAAAAGCCUCUCAAUCGGUCUCCCUGUUGUAAGUUUCUCCUCACUCCAAUUCAGCUGCCAAAGUAACUUUCAUAGAGCUCACAUUUGACCAUACUCGUUCCCUUACUCAAUAAACUUCAGUGGCUCCCUAUUGGCUCUAAAAUUUUUAUUAAUAUAUAAUAAUGAAAUUUAUUAUUAAUAAUAAAAUUAUAUAUUAUUUCACUUCUUUUUAUUUCUAUUUUUAUGUAAAUUAGAUAAUGUAACUUUCUUUUAAGUAGGAAUGGUUUCAGCUUCACUUCGUAUUUGUAUUCCUAGAGUCUUGCACAGUGCCUGGUACACAAUUCUUACUAAUUACAUAAUUAUUAGUACAGUGGUACAGGUACAUAACUUACAAAUAAACACAUUUAUGUGACACACAUGCUCAAAAAUUACUAAUAGGAGUAUGGAGCCAAAAAAUUUAAAGACUACCGUACUAGGAUAAUGCACUCCAAAUUUUUUUCAUUAUACAAAUUCAGCUGCCCGAGUGCCUGGGUAAGAUUCGGUUACAACUUCACUGACAGGUUGUUAAGGCCUGGAAAAGAAAUGUUGGGAGCUAGUACAGUCUUGGGAGGUGAAGGAGUUGAGGAGUGUUGAGCUGUAAUGAGUGAAGGACUGGUGAGGGUGAGUUGGAAAUGAGCUCCAUUGCCUACCUGGGGAGUGUGUAUGAUUGGCUGAUCAUACAUCCCUUGGGUUCUAGCCACAACCCCCAACCCAAACUUUGGAGACCAAUGGAAUAAAAGAUACCCCACACAAAGUCUAACUCAGGAGAUUUUUGAAGAAUUGCCAUUGGCCUGGAGCCAAAGCACCUUCAGCACACUGCCUAGAAUGCUAUGGGUAUUGUUUUGAAGGAGUUUCAGAAACAUUCAACGACAUUCUUCUGGAAACCUGUUUCAGUG
This is a long non-coding RNA of Vombatus ursinus (common wombat), 1500 nucleotides long. RefSeq lists it as uncharacterized. The transcript has 4 exons. The record is from RefSeq and is a predicted model, not a curated record. Lineage: Eukaryota; Metazoa; Chordata; Mammalia; Diprotodontia; Vombatidae.